Molecule: long non-coding RNA, 578 nt
Filed under: Bos indicus x Bos taurus (hybrid cattle)
Lineage: Eukaryota; Metazoa; Chordata; Mammalia; Artiodactyla; Bovidae
Description: lncRNA (ENSBIXG00000001828.1)
Source: RNAcentral
GGGAGAGAGUAUAUUUGGUUGGACAGCUGCUCAAAUUGAGCCUUUUGUUUACAGGUGGAAAUGAAGCUCCUGUGUUGCCAGAUUUCAAUUUUCAAGAAAAACUUAACAAUUUAUAUUUUUUAUUUGAAGUCUGUCAAUUGUUAAAUGUUGGCCAUGCAUUCAAAUAUCAGGCCAUUUCCUACAGAUGCAUCAUAAAACAAAGAAGAACAGAAAGGCAUGUUCCAGUCUUCCUUGGUCAUUACUGUUUUUCAGGAAUUAAUUGAUAGGGAUUACCUGAAGAAUCCAGAGAAAGAGCAGGUGCUUCGACCUGGCUAUCACGGAGGUGGUAAUAAACGUAAUGAUGGCUUGCUGCCUGAGGAUUCGUGGCACCAGUGUUUUGUGCACAGAAAGACACAGACCAACAAAACCUGUUGCAUUAUAGACCAUCUCAUGACCCAAAGACAAGGAAUGUCUACGUUCUCAUUAAAAUGGCAAAGCACAUGACCACGCUGCACCCAAUAACAUGUUUCAGAGAGUGGCCGUGUGCUUCCCACGUGGCUCAGUGGUAAAGAGCUCAUCUGCCAAUGCAGGAGCUGCAG